GGGGAUUUAGCUCAGUGGCAGAGCGCUUGCCUAGGAAGCGCAAGGCCCUGGGUUCGGUUCCCAGCUCCG
This 69-nucleotide transfer RNA is filed under the name Rattus norvegicus (Norway rat). It matches the Rfam family "tRNA". From Rfam's summary of the family: Transfer RNA (tRNA) molecules are approximately 80 nucleotides in length. The record is from Rfam by way of RNAcentral. Lineage: Eukaryota; Metazoa; Chordata; Mammalia; Rodentia; Muridae.